GGGGCUUCACCGCCUACCAAAUCCUGACAAACUCCGAAUGCCAGUAGUAUGAUUUUCAGCAGUGAGCCGUCGGGUGCUAAUGUCCGGCGACAAAAGAGGAACAACUCAGACCAUCAGCUAAGGCCCCCAAACAUACACUAAGUUGAACUAACGAUGUGCGACUGCAGCGACAGCUAGGAUGUUAGCUUGGAAGCAGCUAUUCAUUUAAAGAGUGCGUAACAGCUCACUAGUCGAGCGGUUGUGCGUGGAUAAUAAACGGGCAUCAAGUGUAUUGCCGAAGCUAUGGGAUCGAAAGAUCGGUAGGGGAGCAUUCCAUCGACGCAGAAGCCGGAUCGUAAGGUCCGGUGGAGUUUAUGGAAAAGCAAAUGUAGGCAUAAGUAACGAUAAGGCGGGAGAGUAACCCGCCCACCGCAAGACCAAGGUUUCCUGAUCAACGUUAAUCGGAUCAGGGUUAGUCGGGCCCUAAGGGUAAGCCGAAAGGUGAUCUCGAUGGACAAUCGGUUAAUAUUCCGAUACUAGCAUAUACUGCGACGGAGGGACGGAGAAGCGUAAGCUACGCGAACAGACGGAAUUGUUCGUUAAAGGGUGUAGGUAUAUCGAGGAGUUAAUAGCUUUUUGAUGCUGAAACCUGACAGUACCAAGCGGCUACGGCCAAUUGGAUAGUUAGCCCAAGCAAGCUUCCGAGAAAAACUUCUAAGCUUCAGGUAUAUGGUACCCGUACCGUAAACCGACACAGGUGGUCGAGGAGAGUAUCCUAAGGUGCUUGAGUGAAUCACGGAUAAGGAACUAGGCAAAUUAACCCCGUAACUUCGGGAUAAGGGGUCCCCACGCCAGUGGGGCGCAGCGAAGAGGUCCAGGCAACUGUUUAACAAAAACACAGGGCUCUGCUAAUUCGAAAGAAGAAGUAUAGGGCCUGACACCUGCCCGGUGCUGGAAGGUUAAGAGGGGAUGUUAUCGCAAGAGAAGCAUUGAAUCGAAGCCCCAGUAAACGGCGGCCGUAACUAUAACGGUCCUAAGGUAGCGAAAUUCCUUGUCGGGUAAGUUCCGACCUGCACGAAUGGUGUAAUGAUCUGGACACUGUCUCAUCCGUGAGCUCAGUGAAAUUGUAGUCCCGGUGAAGAUGCCGGGUACCCGCAACGGGACGAAAAGACCCCGUGAACCUUUACUAUAGCUUAACGCUGAAUUUGGGUACACAAUGUGUAGGAUAGGCCGGAGGCUUUGAAGCGGGCACGCCAGUGUUCGUGGAGCCGACGUUGAAAUACGGCCCUUUGUGUAUUUGAGUUCUAACCCUGCGAAGGGGACACCGUUUGGUGGGUAGUUUGACUGGGGUGGUCGCCUCCAAAAGCGUAACGGAGGCUUCCCAAGGUACCCUCAGCACGAAUGGUAACCGUGCGCGGAGUGCAAUAGCAUAAGGGUGCUUGACUGUGAGACAUACAAGUCGACCAGGUACGAAAGUAGGGUAUAGUGAUCCGGUGGUUCUGCGUGGACUGGCCAUCGCUCAAAGGAUAAAAGGUACUCCGGGGAUAACAGGCUGAUCGCCGCCAAGAGCUCAUAUCGACGCGGCGGUUUGGCACCUCGAUGUCGGCUCGUCACAUCCUGGGGCUGGAGAAGGUCCCAAGGGUUCGGCUGUUCGCCGAUUAAAGUGGCACGCGAGCUGGGUUCAGAACGUCGUGAGACAGUUCGGUCUCUAUCUGUUGCGGGCGUAGGAAAUUUGAGGGGUCCUGACCUUAGUACGAGAGGACCGGGUUGGACGAACCUCUGGUGUAUCAGUUAUGCCGCCAGGUGUACUGCUGAGUAGCCAUGUUCGGAUUGGAUAAGUGCUGAAAGCAUCUAAGCACGAAGCCUUCCCCAAGAUGAGAUUUCCCUUGAGGGUCGUAGGAGACUACUACGUUGAUAGGCCACAGGUGUAUAGGCAGUGAUGUCACAGCCGAGUGGUACUAAUUGCCCGAAAGGCUUUCUUCCA
This 1963-nucleotide ribosomal RNA is filed under the name human gut metagenome. RNAcentral's name for it is "bacterial LSU rRNA". It matches the Rfam family "Bacterial large subunit ribosomal RNA", at positions 923 to 2925 of the family's 2925-position model. The record is from RNAcentral.